AGGGUAUCCUGCUCGCGCGCACGCCGCUGCCGCCGUCCUUCCACUAGCCGAGACCUCCCUCCCCUAUGGAGACCAACGUGCAGUUGUGUGUUGGGACCGACACUAUCGUCGCCAAGCCGGAGAUCAAGAAGCUGUAGUCCAGCAUCCAGGCGCGGGCGGGCCCCAAGAUUGCAGGGUGCCGCGUGAUCAAGGUGGAGGCGCACCAGAUCCCGGAGCACCCGCGCCCGUGCUGCGUAGCCCUGGUCGGCGACGCGGCGGGGUACGUGACCGUGACCCGGUGCUCCGGUGAGGGCAUCUACCUCACGGCCAAGUCCGGGCAGCUUUGCGUGUAGGCGAUGAGCGAUGGCCAAGGAACGGCGGCUGAAGAUCGUGGUGGCGGAGGCCGGGAUCAGGCGCGGGUACCUGCGGCGGUGGGACGAUGAGUUCAUGCUGACGUUCAGAAUCUUGGACGCGAGACGCUGGUGGUCGGCUGGGGCGGACGUUCGACUGCCACCUGCACAAGCGGAUGGUGCCUGGCGAGCCGUGGGCCGACCUCCAGCUGGUGUGGCGCACCACAGGCAGCAUGGUUCGAUACAACAUCCUCGGCAAGGAGGCCCAGCGGCUCCAGCAGCUCGAGUUGCUGCGGGCUUAGAAAAAUUCCUUCCAUUCUCUUUCUGCAGACCGCCGAUACAGUACUGAAUAAUGAGGUGAACCACCAGUCCACCAUGGAGCACCAUUUGAUCUGCGGCUGCUACUUUGCAAUCUUUGCAACCAGUCUUCCCUGCGAAAUGACCGACUUGCCACACAAGUCGUGCUCGUGCUGACAUGGCGCUGCCGCUGGUUAAUUCCUUGUGUUGGAGAGGCCUAGAAGUUGGGCAUCUACAGCUGCUUGUCAGUCUGAACUCUGAAGGUUGUUCUGACGAAUGAUAUGAACACUUCUUUCAAGAGGAUACACUGAUAAGCAAUGAAACCUGAUUUUUCAUAUCUAUGGAGGAUCCUUCCCUAUGAGCUGAUAUGAUUAGUGGAUAUCUAAAAUUAAUGGAUCAUAUAUCAGUCGUCAUAUCUGAAUGUGCAUGCACGUGCACUAUCAACAGCGAGGCCACAAACGAUGCAGUGGCCUGGAGGCGGCCCUUGUCUGAAUUGUUGUGGAUAUGCUGCACUUCACAGUGUUUUCUUCUACCACAGUAACAUGAAUAUAUGAUCAAUGUAUCCAUGAGGAAUUGCAGGUUUUCGUCGCCACAAAGGUGCACACAUAUUGUUAAGGCAUUGAUGGUUUUGUAGCUUCAGCUAUAAGACGACUAAGACAAUUCUCAACUUUUAUCUUAAUUAUAGUUGAUCGGUACCAAUAUUUGUUUGGACAAGAUGGUGACAUUUUUCUACUUUUUACACUACAUUCAUACUCACGUAGAUGGACAUAGAGAAAAUCUGCCUGGUGAAAAUGUGCCUUUUAGUGGAGUGCAUUUUCCCAGAUAUGUGUUCUUGUUGUAUGGUAAACUAAACUUUUAUUGUAACUUCUACCUAUCCUUGACAAUUGCAGAAUAUUUCCUCUGGAAAAAACCUUGAUAUGUUUCACAUUA
This is a long non-coding RNA of Aegilops tauschii subsp. strangulata, 1556 nucleotides long. RefSeq lists it as uncharacterized. The record is from RefSeq and is a predicted model, not a curated record. NCBI's taxonomy places the organism in Eukaryota, Viridiplantae, Streptophyta, Magnoliopsida, Poales, Poaceae.